This 254-nucleotide ribosomal RNA is filed under the name uncultured bacterium. RNAcentral's name for it is "partial 16S ribosomal RNA". It matches the Rfam family "Bacterial small subunit ribosomal RNA", at positions 524 to 776 of the family's 1533-position model. The record is from RNAcentral.
UACGUAGGGGCCUAGCGUUGUCCGGAAUUAUUGGGCGUAAAGAGCUCGUAGGCGGUUCGGCAAGUCGGAUGUGAAAUCUCCACGCUUAACGUGGAGGGGCCAUUCGAAACUGCUGUGACUCGAGUCCGGUAGGGGAGUGUGGAAUUCCCGGUGUAGCGGUGAAAUGCGCAGAUAUCAGGAGGAACACCGGUGGCGAAGGCGGGUCUCUGGGCAACAACUGACGCUGAGGAGCGAAAGCGUGGGGAGCGAACAGG